CUUGAGAGUCUUUUUCCCAAUGUUUUUAAUUUGUGUUAUUGAAUUAGAUAUUUAAAAGUAAUUUCUUUUUGAAUGGUUUUUGGUUGGACUUGACCUACCCGUAGAACUGACCCAAACUGAGUCCAUAUUAACUGUACUUCUACUUUUUCCCAAGUUUGGCUGUUUAAUGCAGUUUUCCUUAAACGUGGCAGUGUUUCAGACUGUGAGGGGCCCUGCUGAGCUCAGCUGGCAAACUGGUUCCUGGGGCAGUACUUGCCUUAUUUCUAAUUCUUUUUCUAUAAUUUCCAUAUAUUUCCACUAAUGCUCCAGUCUGUAA
Non-coding RNA from Pelobates cultripes (western spadefoot toad), 316 nucleotides. NCBI's taxonomy places the organism in Eukaryota, Metazoa, Chordata, Amphibia, Anura, Pelobatidae. The record is from the annotation of a GenBank genome assembly.